Molecule: ribosomal RNA, 2243 nt
Filed under: Escherichia coli
Lineage: Bacteria; Pseudomonadati; Pseudomonadota; Gammaproteobacteria; Enterobacterales; Enterobacteriaceae
Description: partial 23S ribosomal RNA
Rfam family: Bacterial large subunit ribosomal RNA
Source: RNAcentral
ACCUGAAACCGUGUACGUACAAGCAGUGGGAGCCUCUUAAUGGGGUGACUGCGUACCUUUUGUAUAAUGGGUCAGCGACUUAUAUUCUGUAGCAAGGUUAACCGAAUAGGGGAGCCGAAGGGAAACCGAGUCUUAACUGGGCGUUAAGUUGCAGGGUAUAGACCCGAAACCCGGUGAUCUAGCCAUGGGCAGGUUGAAGGUUGGGUAACACUAACUGGAGGACCGAACCGACUAAUGUUGAAAAAUUAGCGGAUGACUUGUGGCUGGGGGUGAAAGGCCAAUCAAACCGGGAGAUAGCUGGUUCUCCCCGAAAGCUAUUUAGGUAGCGCCUCGUGAAUUCAUCUCCGGGGGUAGAGCACUGUUUCGGCAAGGGGGUCAUCCCGACUUACCAACCCGAUGCAAACUGCGAAUACCGGAGAAUGUUAUCACGGGAGACACACGGCGGGUGCUAACGUCCGUCGUGAAGAGGGAAACAACCCAGACCGCCAGCUAAGGUCCCAAAGUCAUGGUUAAGUGGGAAACGAUGUGGGAAGGCCCAGACAGCCAGGAUGUUGGCUUAGAAGCAGCCAUCAUUUAAAGAAAGCGUAAUAGCUCACUGGUCGAGUCGGCCUGCGCGGAAGAUGUAACGGGGCUAAACCAUGCACCGAAGCUGCGGCAGCGACACUAUGUGUUGUUGGGUAGGGGAGCGUUCUGUAAGCCUGUGAAGGUGGCCUGUGAGGGUUGCUGGAGGUAUCAGAAGUGCGAAUGCUGACAUAAGUAACGAUAAAGCGGGUGAAAAGCCCGCUCGCCGGAAGACCAAGGGUUCCUGUCCAACGUUAAUCGGGGCAGGGUGAGUCGACCCCUAAGGCGAGGCCGAAAGGCGUAGUCGAUGGGAAACAGGUUAAUAUUCCUGUACUUGGUGUUACUGCGAAGGGGGGACGGAGAAGGCUAUGUUGGCCGGGCGACGGUUGUCCCGGUUUAAGCGUGUAGGCUGGUUUUCCAGGCAAAUCCGGAAAAUCAAGGCUGAGGCGUGAUGACGAGGCACUACGGUGCUGAAGCGACAAAUGCCCUGCUUCCAGGAAAAGCCUCUAAGCAUCAGGUAACAUCAAAUCGUACCCCAAACCGACACAGGUGGUCAGGUAGAGAAUACCAAGGCGCUUGAGAGAACUCGGGUGAAGGAACUAGGCAAAAUGGUGCCGUAACUUCGGGAGAAGGCACGCUGAUAUGUAGGUGAAGCGACUUGCUCGUGGAGCUGAAAUCAGUCGAAGAUACCAGCUGGCUGCAACUGUUUAUUAAAAACACAGCACUGUGCAAACACGAAAGUGGACGUAUACGGUGUGACGCCUGCCCGGUGCCGGAAGGUUAAUUGAUGGGGUUAGCGGUAACGCGAAGCUCUUGAUCGAAGCCCCGGUAAACGGCGGCCGUAACUAUAACGGUCCUAAGGUAGCGAAAUUCCUUGUCGGGUAAGUUCCGACCUGCACGAAUGGCGUAAUGAUGGCCAGGCUGUCUCCACCCGAGACUCAGUGAAAUUGAACUCGCUGUGAAGAUGCAGUGUACCCGCGGCAAGACGGAAAGACCCCGUGAACCUUUACUAUAGCUUGACACUGAACAUUGAGCCUUGAUGUGUAGGAUAGGUGGGAGGCUUUGAAGUGUGGACGCCAGUCUGCAUGGAGCCGACCUUGAAAUACCACCCUUUAAUGUUUGAUGUUCUAACGUGGGCCCCUUACCGGGGUUGCGGACAGUGUCUGGUGGGUAGUUUGACUGGGGCGGUCUCCUCCUAAAGAGUAACGGAGGAGCACGAAGGUUGGCUAAUCCUGGUCGGACAUCAGGAGGUUAGUGCAAUGGCAUAAGCCAGCUUGACUGCGAGCGUGACGGCGCGAGCAGGUGCGAAAGCAGGUCAUAGUGAUCCGGUGGUUCUGAAUGGAAGGGCCAUCGCUCAACGGAUAAAAGGUACUCCGGGGAUAACAGGCUGAUACCGCCCAAGAGUUCAUAUCGACGGCGGUGUUUGGCACCUCGAUGUCGGCUCAUCACAUCCUGGGGCUGAAGUAGGUCCCAAGGGUAUGGCUGUUCGCCAUUUAAAGUGGUACGCGAGCUGGGUUUAGAACGUCGUGAGACAGUUCGGUCCCUAUCUGCCGUGGGCGCUGGAGAACUGAGGGGGGCUGCUCCUAGUACGAGAGGACCGGAGUGGACGCAUCACUGGUGUUCGGGUUGUCAUGCCAAUGGCACUGCCCGGUAGCUAAAUGCGGAAGAGAUAAGUGCUGAAA